RNAcentral lists this transfer RNA (75 nucleotides) under Actinorhabdospora filicis. Its description in RNAcentral is "tRNA-Ala". It matches the Rfam family "tRNA". Rfam says of the family: Transfer RNA (tRNA) molecules are approximately 80 nucleotides in length. Lineage: Bacteria; Bacillati; Actinomycetota; Actinomycetes; Micromonosporales; Micromonosporaceae. The record is from RNAcentral.
AUCCGGGGUGGCGCAGGUGGCAGCGCGCCGUUCCCGCAGGGCGGAGGCCGCGGGUUCGAAUCCCGCCCCCGGAUG